AUUUUGGUGGAGAUCCCUAUGUACCUGAGGUGUUCUGAAGAUUUGAUAAGCAGAAACUGCAGCAGCUGUUUCAUUCCCAGUGUAUACUUGCAUUUUGGAUUGAACUUGUCUAUUUAACCAACUGAUUGGAAAGGGAGCCCUGGGCGAACUUCUAAGUGCUUGUUACUGAGCAAGAACAGCUAAGAAAGCAAACAUCUUUCAGAAUUAGCAAGUAUCACUGCUCAUUCAUCUGAGGAAUUGAUUACUACGCUUUUGCCAUAACUAUGGAAAAGAGCAAAACUGGUCUUACUCUAACUGCAGAAUUGAACUGAACUGUUGAUUGAUCUUUUCUUCUUUUUCUUCAGGACCUUUUUGCCUCUUCAGAAGAAUAAAACUCAGCAACGUGAAGUCCAUGUACCAGAAGCUGAACCAGAAGCUGAAGCAGAAGGGAUCCCUGAUUUGCAGACUGAAUGUUCAGGAUCUUUUGAGCAACUCAAAGAAGAUAUGGUGGUAGAGUAAAGGAAAGCUCAAAUUAUUCGUGGCUGACACAGGGAUAUUAUCCUCUGCAUAAUUGUUGUGUGUUGAAGAGAUGGAAGGUGAACAAAGUACAAAUGGUAUGCAUGAGUAUGAGAGAAAGCAUAUGUGGUGUAUGUUUUUCUAAAUCUUAAAAGAAUGACUUUAUGCUUAUGUUAACCAUACAAUUGUUUAAAAUUAUGCAGGCAGAAAAAUUCGUUUAUCUGGAAAAUGAGCACAAAGUAAUUAAAACUUGCCAACAAUUUAGUAAUUGUAUCCCGUGCUAUUUAACAUUACUGGGUGGGCAUAUGAAACUAUAGGACAUCUGGAGGAUGAGGGUAAAAACAGUCCACACUGGUGCCAGAGUUGGUCUAAGUUCGUAAUUGUCUGAAACAGACCUCUAUGCCAAUUAGCAUCAAAUAGACAUCUGUUUUGUACAUUUAGGAUCUGAUUGAAUGAGUCAAACUUUUACUCAUCAAAGCUAUCAGGCAGAAUCAACACCAAGACCUAAAAAAAACAUUCUAUGGGAACAGAUACACAAGGAUAAUGUUAAAUGUCAGGGCAAUAAAAGGAGAAAAAAGAAGGAAAAAAUGGGAGAGAACAGCCAUGUGGGUGGGCCCCUAUUUAAUAACUGCAAAAGGAUAAACAAGUAUUUAGCAAAAAUUAUUCAUUUACGGAAAAAUCAGACCUUUGUUUAGUAAUCAGAUUAAGUUGCACAUAUAAGAGGACAGACUCUUACCUUCUAGUAAAUGCUAUAUAUAUGGUUAAAUUUCCUCUGCCAAAGCCAAUAAAAACAAUGAUUUUUCAAAUAAAAGAGUGAGUAAUGGAGCAACUACAUAUGGAAAUGAAAGCAAGCUCUGUUUCAGUAGUGUUAUUCACGGUGAUAAACAUUAUCAGAGGAUGAUGCAUAUAACAACACCCAAGUUGGGAAUAAACAAUUCAUUUCAAAAGAAGCUCAAGCUAAAGUUAGAUUAACUCUAGUAUUCCAAACUUUUAUUCUGCCUUUUUUCUUAAACAUACAAAGGAAUAAUAUCCCUUCUCUUAUUCAUUUGAGCUUUGCAAAAAUAAAGUGCGUUAGAGGUGAUGAUUUUGUGAUAAUUGGAAGUGUAUAACCUGAGACUAUUACUACAAGAAUCCUGAGAAUAGCUUUGUUACACUUACUAGCCAUGAUAAACUAAGAAGUGCCUAAAAGAAAAUAUAGGAUUGGAUACAUGGGACUUUUACUGGAGCCAUAAAACUGCAUUGCACAAUUCAUUUCUUAAGGACUCCAAAUUAAGAUUUAUUUUCUGUAUAGUGUACAACAAACAGUCUCAGAAUCACGAAAAGAAGAUAAGGUAAAAAAAAAAAAAAAGGAAUAGAGAGAUCUGCUGCAAAAUAUGGACAUGCUAACAGCCAGGGGGCCAAAUACUGACAUUUUUAAUAUGCAGUAGAUGGUUUCAGUUGCAGUGAAUAGGAAUGGUUUGAAAGUGUCCAUGAAAGUAGAAGGAAAGUGAAGUUGUCUGUACGGAACUACUAAAGAAAAAGAAAUUCAUUCACAGUAGAAUCUGUCCCAAAGACACCUUCUGUAUUGGGAAGCUGCUGUUUAUUAUUAGAAGAUCCCUGGGGUUUCCAGGAUCUUUGAGGUGCAUGGAAAAAGGCAGAACACAGUCUCUUAACUUUUCUGAUGUUUCAAAACGCGGACAUCAAAGGAAAGCAGCACUGAAGAGGGAAAGAUAGAGUCUGAGAAAAACAACAGAGAUAAAAGUUGAAAAUAGCUAGGUAAAAACUAGAGGACUGAACCUGACAUGAUACUUCUUAAAUGUGUUCCUUUGCAGCCAAAACUCAGUGAAAGCUUUUAAGAAGACUUCAUAUAUAAUAGUUAUUUUCUGAAUUUCAAAGCCAUUUUAUGCUAUUUUUUGUAUUUGUCGAUCUCAAGGAAUGGCUUAAAAUACGAUCAGUAUGGCGAAAUGUAAUUAGGUGUUUAUUAUCCAUUUCUGAAAGGAGUGAUGUAUUUCCCUGUAUUGCAGAGAGG
Lagopus muta (rock ptarmigan) is the source of this 2503-nucleotide long non-coding RNA. RefSeq lists it as uncharacterized. NCBI's taxonomy places the organism in Eukaryota, Metazoa, Chordata, Aves, Galliformes, Phasianidae. The record is from RefSeq and is a predicted model, not a curated record. The transcript has 5 exons.